UACGUAGGUGGCAAGCGUUGUCCGGAUUUACUGGGUGUAAAGGGCGUGUAGCCGGGAAGGCAAGUCAGAUGUGAAAUCCACGGGCUUAACUCGUGAACUGCAUUUGAAACUGCUUUUCUUGAGUAUCGGAGAGGCAAUCGGAAUUCCUAGUGUAGCGGUGAAAUGCGUAGAUAUUAGGAGGAACACCAGUGGCGAAGGCGGAUUGCUGGACGACAACUGACGGUGAGGCGCGAAAGCGUGGGGAGCAAACAGG
Molecule: ribosomal RNA, 253 nt
Filed under: Oscillibacter ruminantium GH1
Lineage: Bacteria; Bacillati; Bacillota; Clostridia; Eubacteriales; Oscillospiraceae
Description: partial 16S ribosomal RNA
Rfam family: Bacterial small subunit ribosomal RNA
Source: RNAcentral